This 161-nucleotide unclassified non-coding RNA is filed under the name rhizosphere metagenome. Its description in RNAcentral is "partial ribosomal RNA internal transcribed spacer region". The record is from RNAcentral.
AAUGCCCUCUGACUUCGGUCAGCUGGGUUCAAUGUGUGUCAACUCUUCGGAGUUGGCCAUCCACACACACCGUGAACUGUGGCUUCGGCCAUCACAAACUAUUAGUAAUGAAUGUAAAAUCAUAACAAAAUAAAACUUUUAACAACGGAUCUCUUGGCUCU